GACAGAGUGAGAGAGUGAGAGAGGGGGAGAAAUUGAGAGAGACGGAGAGUGGAAGGAGGGAGAGAGAGAGAGAAUCUCAAGCAGACUCCCUGCUGAACACAGAGCCCAACGCAGGGCUCCAUCUCAUGACCUGAGCCGAAAUCACAAGUCAGACUCUUAACCCACUGAGCCACCCAGACGCCCCAAUAAGAUAUUUGGGUCAUCUUAAACUGAGGCCAAUUAAACACCAAGACCUGUGUUCCCGAACCAGUGAGGAGCAAGGACAGAGGACAAAGUGGACACCAUCUAUCCUAAGGAGGAUAGAUAUACGGUUAAGAGGGAAGGAACAAAUUUUAAUAUGCAAUGUAACAAUAAUGUGACAACAAAAGAAAGAUUUUGAAUGCAUUAACAACACUUUGUUUUUAAAAAAAUGUGGCACGGUGGAAAAAGGAAGAAGCAGGAAAUGGCCUCAAGGAAUAGUCUUCUCUGUUCGUCUGAAAACUGAAGAAAAAGAAAGCUCUGUAUCAAAAUCCUCGAGGCCCUAGGAAGGAAGUCAAACAAACCCAAGAAUCCCCAAACAACCUGACAAUUCAAGUCCUAAAGAGAAUCGACUACCGGCCGCGACAGCACUGGGCCAGGAAAUAAAAGCUGCCCCAGCGUCUGCAGAGCAUUGAAUAAAGCAUCAUGAAAGAAUCUGGAGACUGGAAAGAGAUUCAAAUUCUCAGAGAGCUCCAAGCUCAGUGAUGUGUGGGGUAUUUCCCAGUCACCAUUUCUUCCUCUCACGGGCUAAGGGAACGCUGUGCCUGAUGAUCAGAGAGACCAGCUGUUUCUCAUCAGCCCGUGAACACCGCACACAAAAAGAAUUAAUACAUCCAGUCUAAGAGAGUUGAAGAGGAAUACAGUUACAUUUUACCAAUAAGUCAUCAUUUUCCAUAUUGGCUCUGCUCUAGACUCUAUCAGACAAGUUGACAGUGUUAUCUAACACAGCCCAGACCACCACAAGAGGCCGUGUGGGCAGGAUCCCGUGCACUCACGCACGCACAGAAGCACAGAAGGUUCAGAAAGACCAACAAAAUAACUUCUCCUCGAGUGGACUGACAGUUUCCUGUCAUGGGAGCCAUGAGCCACCUGUCACUCCAGGCCUCUCAGCCAGCCCAGGUGGGAAGCAGAGUGUGGCCUUCUCUUAUAUCGGAGAAUCCUAAACUGCCAUCCAUGUUAGCACAGGAGUGCGUGACUCAA
Mirounga angustirostris (Northern elephant seal) is the source of this 1218-nucleotide long non-coding RNA. RefSeq lists it as uncharacterized. The record is from RefSeq and is a predicted model, not a curated record. Lineage: Eukaryota; Metazoa; Chordata; Mammalia; Carnivora; Phocidae. The transcript has 4 exons.